This 409-nucleotide ribosomal RNA is filed under the name uncultured bacterium. Its description in RNAcentral is "bacterial SSU rRNA". It matches the Rfam family "Bacterial small subunit ribosomal RNA", at positions 917 to 1341 of the family's 1533-position model. The record is from RNAcentral.
GGGCUUACACAAGCGGUGGAGCAUGUGGUUUAAUUCGAUAUAACGCGCAGAACCUUACCAAUCCUUGGAAUAUACAUGGGGGUGCAGGUCUCUGCACGCUCUGAUGGUAUACAGGAGCUGCAUGGCUGUCGUCAGUUCGUGGCGUGAGCUGUCAGGUUAAGUCCUGAAACGAACGCAACCCUUAUUGUAGGAGAGCGCGUGGGUGCGCUACUGCAAGACUGCCAGUGACAUACGGGAGGAAGGUAAGGAUGACGUCAAGUCCUCAUGGCCCUUAUGGGUUGGGCUACACAUGUGCUACACUGGCGACUACAAUGCGAAGCGAUAUGGCAACAUGGAGCUACACGUGAAAGGUCGUCGGGUUCGGAUUGCUCUCUGCAACUCGAGAGCAUGAAGGUGGAAUCGCUAGUAA